GCCUACGGGGGGCAGCAGUGAGGAAUAUUGGUCAAUGGGCUAAGGCCUGAACCAGCCAAGUCGCGUGAGGGAAGACGGUCCUAUGGAUUGUAAACCUCUUUUGUCGGGGAGCAACGAGGCCACGUGUGGCCGAAGUGAGAGUACCCGAAGAAAAAGCAUCGGCUAACUCCGUGCCAGCAGCCGCGGUAAUACGGAGGAUGCGAGCGUUGUCCGGAUUUACUGGGUGUAAAGGGCGUGCAGCCGGGAAGACAAGUCAGAUGUGAAAUCCCGCGGCUCAACCGCGGAACUGCAUUUGAAACUGUUUU
RNAcentral lists this ribosomal RNA (305 nucleotides) under uncultured bacterium. RNAcentral's name for it is "bacterial SSU rRNA". It matches the Rfam family "Bacterial small subunit ribosomal RNA", at positions 337 to 639 of the family's 1533-position model. The record is from RNAcentral.